This is a long non-coding RNA of Loxodonta africana (African savanna elephant), 20413 nucleotides long. RefSeq lists it as uncharacterized. The transcript has 3 exons. NCBI's taxonomy places the organism in Eukaryota, Metazoa, Chordata, Mammalia, Proboscidea, Elephantidae. The record is from RefSeq and is a predicted model, not a curated record.
UUUUUUUUUUUAAGUUGCAAAGAGGUUUUUACUCCUCUGCUCCAAGGGGCAUUAGCAUCUGUAUUAGUCUCUUAGGGCUACUGUAACAAAUUGCCACAAACUGGGUGGCUUAAAACAGCAGAAAUUUAUUCUCUCGCAGUUCUAGAGGCCAGAAUCUGAAAUCAAGAUGUCAACAAGGCCAUGCUGUCUCUGAAGGCUCUAGGGGAGAAUCUGUUCCAUGACUUUCUCCUAGCUUCUGGAGUUGCUGGCGAUCCUUGGUAUUCCUUGUUGGUAUCACUUCAGCCUCUGCCUCCGUCAUCACAUGGCAUUCCCUCUGUGUGCCCCUUCCUCUUCUCGAAAGGACACCAGCCACUGGAUUAGGGCCCACUGUAAUCCAACAUGGCCUUAUCUUAACUUCAUUACAUCGGCAAGACCCUAUUUCCAAACGAGGUCAUAUUCACAGCAGGGGGUUAGGACUUGAACAUAUAUUUUUGGGGGACACAAUUUAACCCAUAACGGCAUCCAAGCACUUAUGUUUUCUUUUCUUUCUUUUUUUUUUUAGUAACCCCUCUUUAAACCAUUGUCGUUGUUAGGCGCCAUCAAGCUGAUUUUAACUCCUAGCAACCCCAUGUGACAGAGAAGAACUGUCCCAUAGGGUUUUAUAGGCUGUAAUCUUUAUGGGAGUAGAUUGCCAGUCCUUCCUCUUGAGGAGCCACUGGGUGGGGUCGAACCACCAACUUUUUGGUUAGCAGCAUAGUGCUUAACCGCUUUGCCAUCAGGGCCCCUUUUUAAACCAUUAAGUGUCUGAAAAGUGUUUUAAUUUCAUUUUUGCAGAAUAAAUCAUGUAUUUCAUAUUCUGAAAUGCCCACCAAGAAACACAUGUUGAAUUAUUUUGUUAAAAUAAAUACUAUUUUACUUUUUCCAAUUUUUCAGUGUAGCCAUUGCUCAAAUUAUAAACAUGUUACUUGUUAUUAUUUGGUGGGUCUAAAGAGAUUACGGGUUCCCUCUUAAUUCUUCAGUCUGAAAUGACUUCACUUUCUGGGGUUGUCAUUUUUCUCAGCAGCCACCAAGCUAUCCCAAGGAAUCGUGUAACUUUGUGCCUGGCAUAAAGACUGCGCGUGUUAACAUCUUUUUUCACCGCUGUUUUCACUUCCUCCCAGUACUAACCACAGUUCCAUGAUCUUACCAUGUGUGAUUUCCUUCUCUUAAGUACAAAUUUCUUAAAUCUCAUUCCUCUUUCCCCGCUUUCUUCCAACCAUGAAAAUUGCCUCUCUGUCUUCUUUUCAUUUGUGUGUUAAAGAAUAUUUAGUAAGGGCAGUACUAGUGAUAGGUUUGUAUCAAGGAUAAGUAAGCUUACAGAGAAUUUCCGACGAUACAAUAAAUUUUCUCAGAAGGCUGUAUAGCUGUAUAACACGGAGGGAAAAAAAAAAAAAGAAGGGAUUCAAGAGGAAAUCUCACUGAGGGAAAAGUGAAAGGCUUGUGAAACUGCUCUUCCUUUCACAAUAUUAAAUCAUAACCUGUUCCCUUAGGGUGGUGGAAGCCUGGAUGAGGUGAGGAUGUGGAUCGGAAACCAACAAGGGCAGCAAAGGUGGAAUGAGCCUGGAAGAGGUUCAUUUAGAAAUGGGUGUCUCAUACUGGGAAAAGAAGCUGGGGGAAAGAUAAGCAAGACACAUAGGCCACGAUCUAAGCAGCAAAUAUUCAGGGAAAUGCUAGUGUAGGGAAAUGGUUCAGAAGUAGAGAGCCUGGGGUUUAGAAGCAAGAACUCCCUUUAUCCAUUUCCUGGGAAUUCAACUAUGAUAGAAUAAACAAGCUAUAACAAAAAGUGCUGCAAACAAUGGUCUCUGAGCUCAUGCCUCAAUGGGACCAGCCCCAGCCAGUGGAGCUUCCAAGCCAAAGAGCCUUCUCCAUGGCUGGUUGUAAUACUGUGUCAGAAAACAAAGGUUAUGACAAUUUCAAUUCUGUGUAAAUGAGGUUCAAAUAAAGACUAAAUGUGUAUAUGUAUAUAUAUAUAUAUAUUGGUGGGUGUUUAGUUCAGCUUUAAAAAGUGGGCCAAUGGUCCCCUUUCAUGAAGUUACUAUAUUCCCUUUCUUUGAUCAAAAGUGAUUCCAGAAUUUGGGAAGAGGGAGGCUGAACCCAGGUGGAGAUUCUGCUUCAAAUCCUUCCUCCAGGUUGGCAGGUGUUACGGAUUGAAUUGUGUCCCCCAAAUAAUGUUCGUCAAAUUGGCUAGUCCAUGAUUCCCAGUAUUUUGUGAUUGUCCACCAUUUUGUCACCUGAUGUGAUUUUCCUAUGUGCUGUAAAUCCUACCUCUACAAUGUUAAUGAGGUGGGAUUAGUGGCAGUUACGUUAAUGAGGCAGGACUCAAUCUACAAGAUUAGAUUGUGUCUUAAAUUAAUCUCUUGAAAGAGAGAAGUAAGCAGAGAGACAGAGGACCUCAUACUAUCAAGAAAGAAGAGCCAGGAGCAGAGUGAGUCCUUUGGACCCUGGUUCCCUGGGCUGAGAACCUCCUAGACCAGGGGACGAUUGAUGACAAGGACCUUCCCAUAGAGCUGACAGAGAGAGAAAGCCUUACCCUGCAUCUGGUGCUCUGAAUUUGGACUUCUAGCAUCCUAGACUGUGAAAGAAUAAAUUUCUCUUUGUUAAAGCCAUCCACUUGUGGCAUUCCUGUUAUAGCAGCACUGGAUGACGAAGACAGCAGGUAUCGAUCUAUACUUCUUAUAUCAGGCUUAUUAACAUUUGCCAAACAAGUAGGUAUAAACUGCUUCUCAUGGGGGUAGGGAGGAUGGAAGGAGGAGCCUCAGGUAUUGUGAACACAGUAGCAUUAAAUAGACUUGGUUCAUAAAAAUACCAAGUUUGGAAGAGGAUGAGGGCCAAUAGGCUCUCUCACGCAUUGCUUGUGAUUAUCUUAUCAAGUUGAAUAUUCACAUAUCAUACAAACCAGUAAUUGCUCUUCAAGGCAUACACCCAAGAGAAACUCGUGCAAAUGUACAUUAGGAGACAGGUGCCAGAAUCUUCCGAGAACCAUUUUGCAUAACUAAGGCAAACAAAAGAACUGGAAACAGCCCAAACGGCCAUCACCAGGUAAUGAAUAAAUAAAUAAAUGGUGAUAGGCUCCAGGAAUUGAUGGAAUAUCAAUUGAGAUGUUUCAACAAACAGAUGUAGCACUGGAGGUGCUCACUCAUCUAUGCCAAGAAAUAUGGAAGACAGCUUCCUGGCCAACUGACUGGAAGAGAUCCAUAUUUAUGCCUAUUCCCAAGAAAGGUGAUCCAAAUGAAUGUGGAAAUUAUAGAACUGUAUCAUUAAUAUCACACGCAAGCAAAAUUUUGCUGAAGAUCAUUCAAAAACGGCUGCAACAGUAUAUCGACAGGGAACUGCCAGAAAUUCAGGCUGGUUUCAGAAGAGGACGUGGAACCAGGGAUAUCAUUGCUGAUGUCAGAUGGAUCCCAGCUGAAAGCAGAGAAUGCCAGAAGGGUGUUUACCUGAGUUUUAUUGACUAUGCAAAGGCGUUCGACUGUGUGGAUCAUAACAAACUAUGGAUAACAUUGCCAAGAAUGGGAAUUCCAAAACACUUAAUUGUGCUCAUGAGGAACCUUUACAUAGAUCAAGAGGCAGUUGUUCAGACAGAACAAGGGGAUGCUGAUUGGUUUAAAGUCAGGAAAGGUGUGCGCCAGGGUUACAUUCUUUCUCCAUGCCUAUUCAAUCUGUAUGCUGAGCAAAUAACUUGAGAACCUGAACUAUAUGAAGAAGAACGGGGCAUCAGGAUUGGAGGAAGACUCAUUAACAGCUUGCUCUAUGCAGAUGACACAACCUUGCUUGCUGAAAGUGAAGAGGCCUUGAAGCACUUACUAAUGAAGAUCAAAGACCACAGCCUUCAAUUAGGAUUGCACCUCAAGAUAAAGAAAACCAAAAUCCUCACAACUGGACCAAUGAGCAACAUCAUGAUAAAUGGAGAAAAGAUUGAAGUUGUCAAGGAUUUCAUUUUACUUGGAUCUACAAUCAACAGCCAUGGAAGCAGCAGUCAAGAAACCAAAAGACGCAUUGCAUUGGGUAAAUCUGCUGCAAAAGACCUCUUUAAAGUGUUCAAGAGCAAAGAUGUCACCUUGAAGACUAAGGUGCGCCUGACUCAAGCCAUGGUAUUUUCAAUGGCAUCACAUGCAUGUGAAAGCUGGACAAUGAAUAAGGAAGAUCAAAGAAGAAUUGAUGCCUUUGAAUUGUGUUGGCAAAGAACACUGAAUAUACCAUGGACUGCCAGAAGAACGAACAAAUCUGUCUUGGAAGAAGUACAACCAGAAUGCUCCUUAGAGGCAAGGAUGGCGAGACUGGGUCUUUGAUACUUUGGACAUGUUGUCAGGAGGGAUCAGUCUCUGGAAAAGGAUAUCGUGCUUGGGAGAGUGCAGGGUCAGCGGAAGAGAGGAAGACGGUCAACAAGGUGGAUUGACACAGUGGCUGCAACAAUGGGCUCAAGCAUAACAACAAUUGUGAGGACGGCUCAGGACCGGGCAGUGUUUCGUUCUCUUGUGCAUAGGGUCGCUAUGAUUCGGAACCAACUCGACAGCACGUAACAACAACAACAACAAUAGCCACACAAUGAAAAUAUUUCAUACACCAAUAGAAAUAUAUUUGCAACACUCUAAGUGAAAAGAAUAAGUCCCAAGUGACAUUGCUAUACAGUAAUGAUUUUUUAUGAUUUUUCCCCAAUCAAAGUGGUAUCCAAAGAUUUGUCUUCAAUAUCAUUGGCCCUAUCUCCCAUUGUUUGAAAUUUGCUCCUAAAACCUUCCAUGGCACUGUCUCUUCCUGAAAUCUUGUUGUUUAUCUUUUGGGUUUCUAAUUGCUGUUUUUUGUGUGAUUUCUAGUUGUUUGUAUUUUGACAUUGUGUUUCUGUAUUUUUUUUUCUUGAAUUUUGCCAUUGCUUUGUUUGCCUUUUCCAUGAUUUUGUCUGUAUUUUUUCCUCAUUUUUUCUGCAUUUUCCUUCAUCUCUUGGAAAAAAAAAAAAGUUGGGGAGCCCUAAAUACUAGAGCUUUGAAUUCCCUAUCAGGUAGUUCCAGUACCCUCACUUCUACUGAAAGGUCAUCUGGUAUUUUAUUUUGGACGCUUUCUAGAGUCAUCCUGUCCUGUUUUUGUUUAAUAUGUUUCAAUAUUAAUGUCGAAUAUCCUGUCUUCAGGACAUUCAGGAAUUUUUUCUUUGUUUAUUGGUUUUAGAUUUGUUUGCUUCUUCCUCCUUUUUUGUUUUAUUUGGUUAUGUCUCGGCAGGCGGGCUGGGCGUUCUUUGUUGUUUACUCAUCUGUGGGUAUGAUACUUCUCACCACCUUGUCUAGGCUGGCAGGGCUGUUCACUCAGCUAUGAUGCAGCAGGGUAGGUCCAGCUGAGGGGGAGUAAUGGGAAUGGGUUAUUUGUGGCAUGUACUGGGGCCAAGAGGGCAGGGCUGGGGGUCACACCGCAAGAUUCCAUGGCCCAUAUCAGUACUGCUCUAGGAUGCAGUGCUCAGCGUGUGGUGCAGUCAGGCAGGAGGCAAGAGGGAGGAUGUGAUAUGUGGAGCUAAGUGGUGUGGGAAAGAAGAGAGAGAAAUGGAAGCCAAACACAAAACAACAAAAUAAUAAUGAUAAUAAUAAAAUAAUAAGAAGAACAACAAAAAAUGCCCAGAGGGAGCUCACCAGUGUGGCAGUGCAGACUGGGGAAGCUGUGUGCCAGAAGGAGGUGAGACAGAGUGAGAGAGACAAAACAAAAAGAAGCCAAACAACAACAACAAUAAGUGGCACUGAAGGAACUGACCGGUGGGGGCAGGGCGGAUCCAAAUGGCAAGGAGCUGGUAUCUCUCUGGCUGAGCGACCCGUGACCCACCAGAAAGUGGUGGAGGGAAGAAGGGUGGGGCUGGGAAAGCACGUAUCCCUGGAUGCCGGGAGCGCUGUCUCCUCCUGGGAGCUCUGUGAAGUUGCCUUUCUGUACUCCCUGUCUACCACCGUUGGUGUCUGAGAGGUCCACGAUGGCAUGUCCAUGUGACUUUAGCUGAUAGGGGACCUCUACUCUGUAGUACUCCUCGUUCUUUGUUCUUUGUCCAUUUCCUACUCACUCCAUUUGGUGCUUGAUUGAGUUCUUUAUUCCUUCAUUUGAUGCUUAGGGUUCCAAGAUUGAUGAUUGUAACUGUUUUACUUAGUUUUUGGGGUCUUUGGGACUGUGUAGUGCUUCUAUCUAUAGCGUCAUGUUGGCUCUACCCAAUGGCUGAUUUUUCUGAAGUAAAUCCCCGGAGCUUCCUUCCAAGGUGCCUCUGGUAAACUCAAGCCUUCAACCUUUUGAUUAGCAGCCAAGUGCAUUAACCGUUUGUACCAAUCCAGGGACUACAAACUAAAGCAAAGAUACCUAUAAUUUUUAGAAAUACAUACAUAUACACGUAUGUGUGUGUGUAUAUAUAUAUUUAUGUACAUACAGUUAGGCAUCCCUUGCUUAAUGUCCAUAAUACGUUCUGUGAAAUGGAAGGUUAUGUGAUUCGGACAUUGCGGGAAAACCAUAUUAUAUAUAUGAGACAUGAGAUACACGUAUUGAGUGCGGGAAGCUGUUGCGUUUACUAUGUUCAGUUACGUCCAAUACACCCCAUUCUUUGACCAGGAUUUCUGAGCUCUAUUAUGACCUUAUGGGACCAUGAAUAUAUACGCAAUCAGAUCUUACCCGAAAAGACAUUACGCGGCACAUGACUGUCUGUAUAUGUAUUUAUAUGCUAAAACAGUAUAUGAAAAGGCAAUGGAUUGAUAUGAAAUCAGGUUUAGGAUACGGAUUAUAAUGGGUGGGAGAGAAGCAUAGAGGCUGAUGAUGUGAAUCAUUGGUGAUGUAUUAAUUCUAGUGGUGGAUGUUGGGCUCACAGGUGCUUCUUAUUAUUAAUAAACAAACAAGUAAAUAAAUACCGUGUCUUUUCCAUGACUGGUCAUAAUAGCGUCAUGAAACAAAGAUUAUGACAAUUUCAAUUUUGUGUAAAUGAGAUUAAAAUAAAGGAAAAAAAUAUUGGUAGGUGUUAUUUAAUUCAGUGGAAUGUUAGUAACUCUGCUAAUAACUUAGCUUUUAGACUUUAAUCUUAUUUCCCCUUCUCACUUUCUGUAAAAAGUGCCUAAUGUGAAUAACUGUCAGUUCCUGCUUUAGUUUUUACACUGGUGCUUUCUAAAAAGACUACUUUACCAUAAAGAUAUAAAUGGAAAGGUAAAUGUGGUAUGUGAACCAUUCUGAACCCCCCACAAACUCUUGGUUAAGGCACAGCUGGGUCCCUAGGGUCCCUAAGCAUAAAUAUGGAAGCAAGUUGGUGAGAGAAGAAAAUUAACUGAGCAGUGUUAGACACUUGGAGGAGUCCCUGGGUGGUGCAAAUGUUUAAUGUGCUCAGCGACUAACUGAAAGGUUGGUGGUUCAAGUCUACCCCAGAGACACUUCAAGGGAAAGACCCGGUGAUUUACUUCCAAAAAAUCAGCCAGCAAAAACCCUGUAGAGCACAGUUCUACUCUGACACACAUGGGGUCACAAUAAGUCAGAGUUGACUCAACAGCGACAGUUUUUUUUUUUUUUUUUUUGGACACUUGCAAGUAAUAAAACAGUUUCCAUGAUGCCAAUUCUUGAAGUUAAUUAAGUCCUGAAAGAGACUGUACCGUUUCCACUAAGACUAUGGACAAUUAUGGUAAGUUUCUAUAUUUGUUUUGAAGCACUAAAAUUCCACAAUACAGUAAAAUGUUUUGAUAAAAUAAUUUGUAAAUUAGAAGUUUUAUUAACAGCUGGUCAAGCCCAUUUGUGUGUAAGCAGAGCUCUGAGGAUAUUCAUUGGUUACAUAAUUACGGAUUUGCCCAGUUUAUAGUUCUCUCAUUUCUCCACUUGCCUUUUCUGCCUCCUCUUACUUCCCUCUUUACAGGUUCAUGUGCUUUGAUCUCAUCCUAGUCCAUCAGACUGGUGACCAAUUCACCAAUACUAAUUUUUUCCCCCUCUUACAGAAAUGCUGAGGUAUGUUCCUCAUGUGUUCAGAUGGUGUGGUUUUAUGUAAUAUGAUUUGCCAAGUUUUUGGUGGUUACCAUGUGAUCCCCUCCAGCAAUGAUUAAGUAUCCAGUGAUCUUGAGAAAAAUACCUCUUCAUUUAUAAAUAUCGACCCUAGUAGGAAAAGGGACCAUAAUUAUUAAAAUUUUAUGCAUUUAUAGCUCUUUACUCAUGGUAUAAAAAAAGAGGUCACUACGAGUAGGAAUCGACUUGACGGCAACAGGUUUUUUGGGGUUUUUUCUUUGACACUUCUUUUGUAAUAUAUUUGAAAUUAAUCUGAUAAUGUGAUAUUAAACACAUGCCAACUACUUCUGACUUCAUGAAGCAUACAAAAUAGCCCCCAAGAAUCACAGGUGUUUCUGAGUUUGUCACCAGAUUUUUUUAAACUUUCUCUGUACCUCUUAUAAUCUGAUGGUACAAAUGGUUAAUGAGUUGGGCUGCUAAAGAUUAGAAGUUUAAGUCCAACUGAGAGGUGCCUCAGAAGACAAGCCUGGUAAUCUGCUUCUAAAAAUCAACCAUUGAAAACCCUAUAGAGCACAGUUCUACCCUGGUACACAUGGGGUCCCCAUGAGUCAGAACUCAACGGCAACUGGUUUUUUAAUCUUUACUUGGUCACGGUACUAUAGUUUGCGCUCUCAAGAGUUUGAGCUUUAGACAUAUCAAUGUUGAAAUGAGAAGAACCAGGUCGUUAGCUAUGCUUAAAACGAAAUAAGCACAGACACAAACGUCUUCAUAUCGUACUUCUGUUUUUAGAAGGUGCUAGAUACAGAUGUAGGAAACCCUGGUGGUGUAGUGGUUAAGUGCUACAACUGUGAACCAAGAGGUCGGCAGUUCGAAUCCGCCAGGCGCUCCUUGGAAACUCAAUGGGGCAGUUCUACUCUGUCCUAUAGGGUCGUUAUGAGUUGGAAUCGACUCAAUGGCAGUGGGUUCGGUUUUUUUUUUUUUUUUUUGGUUUAGAUACAGGCGGGAAAUCCUGGUGGCAUAGAGGUUAAGAGCUACCGCUGCUAACUAUAAGGUCAGCAGUUGAAUCCACCAGGCGCUCCUUGGAAACUGUAUGGGGCAGUUCUACUCUGUCCUAUAGGGUCACUAUGAGUUGGAAUCGACUUGAUUGCAGUGUUUUUUUUUUUUUUUUUUUUUUCAGUUUAGAUACAGGUGGGAGGGAGCAGUACUGAGGAUUUUUCAAUAUUUGUGAAGGCUCAAUGGCUAGGAAGUAGAAAGCAAGAGUGGAGUAAAUUGAGUUCUGUUUAUUUACUAACAGUAGUAGUAGUGGCUAACUGUUAAGUCCUUUAUACUGUUUAUGUCAUCAAUAUUUGCAGAAAAUAAAAAGCAUACACUUGAACCAAAACUUCAACCCAAGAUUAUAUGAAAUUUGAAGGCUUACAGGUGCCUAAGAUGUUUUCUAUGAGGAAAGUGAAAAUCCUGGGUGGAAUUUGAUUUCUGCUUUUAGAGAGGACUAGACUUUUAACAAAUCUAGACAUAUGAGUGGGGAGGUGUGGAAAAGAAACAGGAGAAUUUUAGAAUUAAAAGACUUAGAGAUCUAGCUCUAAUCCAAGAGGAAGAAACUUAGACCUAGAGACCUAAGCUUCCAGCUGGUUCCAGAGUUUCCCAAGCCAAAUCCCCUCACGAUUUAAUGGUGUUUCUGUCACACUAAGCUGAAUAAAGAAUGAGUGGUGAGAAGGAAGGAGCCUAAGAAGACAGUACAGAAAUACCAUUUGGGCCAAUUUGGUAUUCAGACCAUUUCGAGCCUUAAAUCCGUGACAGAAUCUAAUGUCUGUAGCUGUGAGACCCCAAAUCUCACAGAGCCGAUGUCAAGCUGCUUGAAAGGCAAUUUUACCAGCGAGACCACAGAAUUUACUCAAAGGCCAGGGCACAGAACACAAUUACUAACAAUAAAUUAUGUAGGAGUGUGAGUAGGAGUCUCCACAUACUGAUGUUUUAAAAGACUUUACACUCUUAAAUACCUCUCAAUGGAGAAUUUUGCUGAAUUAAACAUAUAUACCCACCAAUGGUCUAUUAGUUUUUUGUACUGUGGUGACUUUAGUGUUGCUGUGAUGCUGGAAACUAUGCCACCAGUAUUUCAAAUACCAGCAGGGUCACCCAUGGUGGACAGGUUUCAGCAGAGCUUCCAGACUAAGCCAGACUAGGAAGAAAGACCUGGCAUUUUACUUCCAAAUAUUAGCCAAUGUAAACACUACAGAUCACAACAGAAUAUUGUCUAACACAGUGCAAAAAGAUGAGCCCCCAGGUUGAAAAGUGCCCAAAAUCUACAGUGGCCACAGCAAUGGACUCAAGCAUACCAAUGAUCAUGAAGAUGGAGCAGGACUGGGCAAUGUUUCGUUCUGUUUUAUAUGUGGGUUACCAUGAGUCAGAGCUGACUCGACACCAACUAUCAACAAUGAAACAUAUGGAGAACGGAUCACAAAACACUCUGAAGUAGGUUUGCAUGUCAGCAGAGGGAACAGAAGAUGUGCUUCCAUGACACAGUAAAAUAUACCUUCAAAGUAUAUGCUAGAGCAGUGGACACAGUGCAGCAGCAGCUGGCAGCCAAGCCUGAAGUGCUCACUAGCCCUUUUAGCAAAGUCUCUCAGCUUCAGUCAAAAAGUGGGGCUGAGGUGGCUGCGUCUGUGACCACCAGCGUGCUUUCUGGCAGCAGUAAUUUCCAUUACACCUGUAAAUGCCUAAAGUGUUCAUCGGAAGCAGCAUUUUUAAUACAAAUUGCCCUGAUUCAUACAUAGCUUAACAGACUGUAUGUAGCAUGUGAUAAAUGUAAACAAAGCCUUGAGGGUAUUUACAGGUGGGAAGAGAUUUUGUUUCCGGUUGUGGAUCCUCCAGCUUCUAGAAGGUAACUGGUGGGGAGGGGAGAGGGAGAUAAGGGGAAGCAGUGAUGCAUGCAAGGAGGAAAAUCUCUAAUACGUCAUUUUUCUAAAUAUUGGCAGUAACUUUCUUGGAACACUGUUUUAAAACUUUUCCCCACUCUUUUCUUCAACGUCUAAACUUUAACCAGUUCAUGAUCCAUGAGUUACAAUUUCUUUCACCUCUAGUUUCUCAGCACGAGUUCCUUCACUGAUCUCUUGCCUCCUCCAGACCUCUUUGACUUGACACGUCUUCAAAGAAAAGAAAUCAAUUGGUUUAACACCAGAUGGAUAGAUUCCUACUGCAGAGCAAGGACGAAUUCUCAGAGGGACUUCUUGCUAGACAAUGUGACCAGAGAUCAUGGGCUACCAUCGAAACUCAAGGUACUUCACUGUAUUUGUCAAACAUUUAAGGAAAGUUUUUCCACUCUUGUAAUUAUUUUCUUGGAGGUUGUGGGAAAGUCUCUCAUGUGUCAGACAAUAUAAGGCACUAGGAUACAGCCCAGGGGCGGGAAGAGAAUGAGAAGAGUGAAAUAAACACGGGGGAGAAGAUGGGCAAUAAUUUUGUCAGCUAAGUAUUGGAUUUAACCUUCUUGAAUAGCUAUAUUUAAUUAACAUUUCUUUUGAUCAUUUUCUCAAUAUUCAAACUUGCACCCAUGACGAAAUUUCCUUCAGCUUCAUAUCCUUCUCAUUCAUCUAAUUUAUUCAUUCAACCAUUGAGUACUUAACAUCUGGCAUUCUUCUGCCCAUUGAAACACUCUAGUAAACAAGAGUUUAUAUUCUAGUUGGAGUAGACAUUUAAUAAACAGGUAAGCAAACAAAGAGUAUAAUUUCACACACUCGUAGAUAAUGUAGACAGGGGCUCCAUUGAUGUAGGGCCUUUGGUAAAGAUUUUGGAUUUUAUUCUACUUUUAAUAGGUAUAAACAGGCAGCGAUGUUAUCAGAGUUAAGUUUUAAAAGGACGAUCUGGUUGCUGUGUGGAGAACGGACCGUAAGGGGGUGAAAGUAGAAGCUGGGAGACUAUUUCAGGAGGUUGUUGAUUUAGAAUGGAGCCUUGGUGGCACAGUGGUUAAGAGCUUGGCUGCUAGCCAAAAGCUUGGUAGUUUGAACCCACUUGGAAACCCUAUGGGGUAGUUCUACUCUGUCCUCUAGGGUUGCUAUGAGUCAGAAUCGACUUGACAGCAACGGGUUUGGUUUUUUUGUUUUAGAGUAUGUGUUGGAUAUAGAGACACCAAGUCUUAAUGGAUGGAGUACAAGGUGAAUUGAGGUUUGUGCAACAUGAAAAGAGGAAUCAAGCAUGAUUCCUGGCCUGGGCUUGAACAAUAGCAUAGGCAGAAUUCCUUCGCAGAGGAAUCCUCAGCCUAGUUGCUUCUUUUUGUUAUUAGUUGCCAUUAAGUCGGUUCCAACUCAUGGUGACCUUAUGUGUAGCAGAAUGAAACAUUGCCUGGUCCUGUACCAUCCUCGUGAUCACUGGUGUGUUUGAGAGCAUUGCUGUGGCUAUUGUGUUAAUCCAUCUCACUGAGUGUUUCUCUCAUUUCGGCUGACCCUCUACUUCCCAAACAUGUCCUUUUCUAGUGACUGAUCUUCCCUAAUAAUGUGUACAGAAUAAGAGUGCCGAAGUCUCCCCAUCCUCGCUUCUAAGGAACAUUCUGGUUGUAUUUCUUCUAAGACUCAUUUGUUCGUUCUUCUGGCAAGCCAUGAUGUACUGAAUAUUCUUUGCCAACACCACAAUUCAAAUAUACCAGUUCCUCUAUCUUCCUGUUUUGUCCAGCUGUCACAUGCAUAUUAGGCAAUUGAAACACCAUGGCUUGGGUCAGGCACAUCUUAGUCAUCAAAGUGACAUUUUGCUUUUUAAUUUGUCUUUUAUUUUGUGCACAUACACACAUGCUCAAAUAAUGAAGUGAUUACACGAUAAAAAAUUCAGUGUUAUUCGCGGAGAAAUAAACGAAUAUGCUCAAACCCUAUGUCUUCCAAAGUCAUGAAUCCAAUUAUAUAUUUGACAUUUCCACUUGGAUUUCUAUGAGACAUUUUAGACUUAACAUAUUCAAAUAGAAUUAUUUAAUCUACUCCUUGUCCUAAACCUUUCUGUCCCUAGUGCUCCCCAUCUCAGUAAAUGGUAUCUCCAUUCAUGCGGCUGCUCAAGCUAAAACUUGGUGGUCAGGCUUCUUCCCCACCUCAUUCAAUCCAUCAGCAAGCACUACCUUUCAAUGGUCCAAAAGUUAUCCAGGCCAUCCACUUAUAUUGUUUAUUUUAUUUAUUUUGUUGUUGUCGUUGAGAGUAUACACAGCAAAACAAACACCAAUUCAACAGUCUGUGCAUAUACCAUCGAUUACAUUCUUCAAGUUGUUUAACCAUUCUCACCUUCCUUUUCUGAGUUGUUCCUCCCCCAUUAAUGUAAAUUAACUGCCCCCUAAGGUUCCUAUCUAAUCUUUCAAGUUGCUGUUGUCAGUUUGAUCCCAUAUCUCUGAAAAGAGCAUCAUGCUAAAGGCAGAACUUUUUUACUAGUUAAGCUAAACUAUUGUUUGGUUUUAAGAAGACUUCAGGGGAUAUUUUUGGCUUAAGGUUUAAAUAUUAUCUUAGGGCAAUAGUUUCAGGGGUUCAUCUAACCUUCAUGGCUUCAGGAAGUUUGGAGUCUAUGAAAAUUUUAAGUUCUGUUCUGCUUUUUCCCCCUUUUGAUCAGGAUUUCUCUAUAGAAUCUUUGAUCAAAACAUUCAAUAAUGGUGGCUGGGCUCCAUUCAGUUAUUCCGGUCUUAUGGUAAAGGAUGCAGUUGUUCAAGGAGGCAAUCAGCCACACAUUCCAUUUCCUUCUUCUAUUCCUGACAUGCUUUCUUCCUCUGUUGCUCCAGGUGAAUAGAAACCAAUGGUCAAGGCUUGGGAUGGCCAUUUGCAAGCUUUUAAGACCCCAGGCACUAGGCAAUGAACUAGGUGGUAGAACAGAAGCACUACACAAGUUAUUAGGCCAAUUAACUGGAUAUCCUAUGAAAGCAGGACCCUAAAGCUCCAAACCAAGAAACCAAAUCCCAUGAGGGUUUGGGUUGUACAUAAGCGCCUCAGCAGCGACUCUCUCUCUCUUUUGUCUUAGACUGGGCUCCCUAGAGAAGCAAAACCAGUAAAGCUUAUAAACACACACACACACACCCAAACCCACACACACACAUAUAUAUAUAGAGAGAGAGAGAGAUUUAUAUUAAGAAAAUGGCUCAUGCGGUUGUAGAGGUUAGAAUAUCCCAAGUCCGUGGGUCAGGCUAGAGGCUUCUGAUUCACAAUGCUGCAGGGGCUGGCAAACCCAAGAUCAGCAAGUCAGACAGCAGGGCUCUGGCUCACAGGCAGUGAAAUCUGACCAAGCCCAAGAUCGUCAGGCAAGACAGCAGGUAAGUUUCUAGUUCAAGUCUCAAGAACCAGAGGUCAGACAAACAGGGGUCAGUUGCAGGAUCCAGUAUAAACAAAAGCCUAAGAGCCUUGCCAAAAGGUCCACCUAUAUUGGAUGCAGGCCGUACCCACAAGGAAACUCCCUUUCAACUGAUCGGCUACUCACAGCAGAUCCCAUCAUGGAGGUGAUCACAUCAUAUCAAAUCUCAUCAUGGAGGUGAUCAUAUCAUUAUACGACUGCCACACUACAUCAUAACAGCCAAACCACUGAGAAUCAUGGCCCAGCCAAGUUGACACACUACCUUAACCAUCACAGUCAUUGUUGUAAAUAUGGCUGUCACACAACUUUUGCCAAUUCGACUUUUUACGGGUGUACAACUUAUUGACAGCAAUUGCAAUAAUCGGCUGUACAACCCUACCCUUAAUCAAUGCAAUAUUUCCAUCACUGUUAACUCCCCUUCCCUGCCUUCCCCUCGUAACCAUUAAUAAACUUUAGUCUCUAUACCUUUGCCUUCUCUUGUCUUUUUAUAUACGCGAGGUCAUACAACACUUAUCCUUUUGUGAUUGACAUCUUUCACCCAGCAUAAUGUCUUCCAGCUGCAUCCAUACUGUAGCACGUAUCAAGACUUUAUUUCUCCUACUGACUGAGUAGUAUUCCAUCAUAUGUUUGUACCACAUUUUGUUUAUCCAUUCAUCUGUUGAUGGGCAUUUAGGUUGUUUCCACCUUUUACCUAUUGUAAAUAGUGCUACAGUUUCUGUUCGAGUCUCUGCUUUCAAGUCUUUUGAGCAUGUACCUAGGAGUGGAAUAGCUGGGCCGCAUGGUAGUUCUAUUUUAGUUUUUUUGAGGAACCGUCACAAUGUUUUUCACAAUGGCUGUACCAUUUUGCAUUCCCACCAGCAAUGGGUAAGGGUUCCAAUUUCUCCUCAUCCUCACCAACAUUUAUUAUUUUCUGUUUUUUUUUUAACCUUAGCCACUCUAGUGAGAGUGAAAUGGUAUCUCAUUGUGGUUUUAAUUUGCAUCUCUCUGAUAGCUAAUGACUCUGAGCAUCUUUCCAUGUGUCUCGUAGCCAUUGAAUGUCCUCUUUCGCGAAAUGUCUUUUCAAACCCUUUGCCCAUUUUAUGAUUGGGUUGUCUCUUUCUUGUUAAGCUGUCAAAGUUUUAUACGUAUUUUGGUUAUUAGAUUCUUGCUAGAUAUAUGGUUUCCGAAGAUAUUCUCCUAGUCAGUAGCUUGUCUUUUUAUUUUUAAAGCAUUCACUUUUCUUCACUGCUGUCACCCUAGUGCAAGUCUUGGACUAAGACAUCAACCUCCUCCUGUCUGAUCUAUCUUGACUUCCUACAGCCUGCUAGUCAUUCUCCACACAUCAUUCUGGAGCAUCUUUUAAAAUUACAGUAAGACUUCAUCUCACUUAGUUCGGACAUCAUGAGAAGGGACUAAUCGCUGGAGAAGGAAAUCAUGCUUGGUAAAGUAGAGGGAUAGGGAAAAAGAGGGAGACCAUCAAUUAGAUGGGUUGACACAGUGGCUGCAACAAUGGGCUCGAAAAUAGCAAUGAUUAUGAGGACGAUGCAGGCAAUAUUUUGCUCUGUUAUACAUAAGGCUGCUAUAAGUCAGAGUUAACUCAAGACACCUAACAACAACAACGACUCAACUGCCUAGACUCCUCCAAUGGCUUCCUUUCCAUGGCACUUAGAAUACAGUCUGAUCUCCUUGCCUUGUCCUCUAAGGUUCUAGGAGAUCUGGCUAGGCCGGUCGCUCUAGGCUCAUCUUCUGCUACUCUUCUCCAGCCUCGUUCUGCUCCUGCCGAACUUUCUGCUCCUUGAACAUGUCAAGCUUAGUACUGCCACACAGCUUCCCUUCUUCCUGUUCCCUCUGCCUGAAAUGCCCUUUCCCUAGACCUUCACGUCGCUGGUUCCUUCUCACUAUUCAGGUCUGAGGUGCUCAGUUUGGACAUCCCUGACUAUACUCUCUAAAGAGACACCCCGUCCCAAAACACUCUCUACAGCAUUCCCCUGUUUGCAUUUCUUUCAUAAUGCUUAUCCUUAACUGAAAUGAUCAUCUUACUGUAUUUGAUUUCUUCUUCAUUGUCUCUGUCCUCCCUGAAAUGCUCACCACUAUAUCCAGGAUGCCGACAACAAUGUUAUAGCACAUAGCUGGUGCUCAGUAAGAGUUUGUUGAAUGCAUACAUUCUCAUUUGUGCAAAAUUUUGACAGGAAAGCAUUGGCUGAAAGCCUGGUAUUAAAGAAAUGACAGCGUAUGUCACAUCCAGCAACCAAUAAGACAUGUCAUAGUAUUCCUUAGCAUUUUAAAACUUAGAAAUGCUAAAAGAGCUCUCAGAGUAUUUUGGGAAGAAGACAGUAAAGAAGGGAGGCCAAAAGACCAAAUUAGCACACCGUCUGUAAAUACACCUGUGAUGUAAAGUAUGCUAAUCCACAUACAGCCUAGAACAUUGUCUGGACCAUAUUAGACCCUCGAUAAAUAUUUGUUGAAUAAAUAAAUAAUAGGUGAAUGAAUGAAUACAUAUGAACUGAAAGCCUGCAGAUGAUUAGACCAAAGGUGAAAACAAAUGAUUAAAUUUUAACCAAUGGGGAUAUUUUUAUUCCAAAAUAAGAGUUCUGCUGAGGGAGAGAGGGGAUCCAGUUUACUUGCAGCAACUCCAUGGUAAACAGAACUAGCUCGGGCACCCUAACAAUAGAAGCUGAGGACUGGCCCCUUCCUACAUCUCCCUGGGUGUGGGGCAGGUCCCAGCAAGCUAGCUCCUCCUCCCGGCUUAGAGAGAGGUGAGUGCCUCACUCUGCCACCUUACCGGCUCAUUGUUACUGUUGUUAGGUGCUGGCGAGUUGCUUCCAGCUCAGAGCAACACUACACACAAAAACCAAAACCAGCUCAUUAGAACACGCAAGUAAGUCAGAGGACCAACAAAUAGGUAUUUUCCCCAACUUCUCAAAUAAUUAGCAAAUAUCCAAUGUCAUCAUUUUGCUUUAGCUUUAUAUUUCUUGACCCUUUUAUCCUCAUCAGAUGCUAUAAACUAAGCUAAAUUAACCAAGGGGAGGGGAAAAUGUUUUUAUUAAAAUGACUUUUUAGACUAAUACCUGUUUUAUUUUUUUUUUUUAAGUAGCCACUUUGGAGAUAAAAUCCAGUUGAAUUUGCUGGACUUUCUGUUUUUAAGAAAUGUUAAGCCGAAAUGAUAAGGGAAACAGAUACUUUUGUAUUUAAUGGAUAGGAACAAAUUAAAAAACAGCAAAAGAACAAAUUAAAAUACUGAAAAAGAGCAAAUUAAAAUACCAUAUUUAAAAAAUAUAUAUAUUUAAAUAUCAAAAAAGUUUUCACAAGAAAAUUAACAUUCUGUACAAGUGAUUAAUAAUAUUUAAGAGUAAUCAUCAUUAAUAUAAUGCCACUCAUGGUAAUGAUAUGUCCCAAUAGAUUCUUACCAAGCCACCACCAAUGACAGCUAUUUUUCUCCUUUGAGUGUCAGAUGAAUCCAUAACUGCCGAGGUGUUCCUCAUAAACGUUGCCGCUUCUGUCACUUAGGGAACUGGCUGUCCUCCACACUGAUUCUCUCAACCUUUAUACUGCUUAGAGCCUCCAGCUUUUCAGAGUGAAGGAAGCAGUGUUUGGCUGAUUUCCCUUGAAUUUAGAGGAUAGCAUUUAACCCCUUAGUAGCCUACGGUAGAAUCAACUCAGCUUAAGAAAAAAGGUAACAUUGCAAUAAGCAAACUUUGAAAAAGUCAGCCAAGUGAAGACACUUACUCUCUAUCUUAUGUAUAACACAUGGAUUUUUUUAAACACAACUUUAUGGCUUUUUUUUUUUUUUUCUUCUUUUUUUAAGGCGUGUAUUCUCAGUUUCGUUUUCAUUCAUGAUUAACCAUGAAUGAAACUUCCCUUGUGUGAAGUCCCAAAGAAUGUUUAUACUUCUCUUACAGAAUAAGGUGGCAUGGUUUCACCUACCUACAGAUUAUUCUUGUUACUAAGACCAGUCAGGAAUUUCUCCAAAAGGUUUCUCAUGGGUUGUCUUUGAUAGACUCUACUAGGGAAAUUUUUUUUUAAUUGUGUAAUUGAUCAUAUCUUCUUUUUAAAAAAUACCUUAAAAUUAAGAUCGUCUUUUUAUUAAAAGAUACCACUAAGCCAAAACCCAAACCCAGUGCCAUCGAGUCGAUUCCAACUCGUAGCGACCCUAUAGGACAGAGUAGAGCUGCCCCAUAGAGUUUCCAAAGAGCGCCUGGCGGAUUCGAACUGCUGAUCCUUUGGUUAGCAGCCGUAGCACUUAACCACUAGGCCACCAUGGUUUCCAAAGACACCACUAAGAAAGUGAAAAGGCAGGUCACAGAAUGGAAGAAGUACUAGAAAACUUGGAAUCUAAUUUGUACAUCACCAGUAAAAGUGGUCGUAGAGGGUCAGACAGAAAGAGGAAGACCCUCAACGAGAUGGAUUGACACGGUGGCUGCUCAAGAUUAUGAGGCUGGCACACGACUUUUUUUUUUUACAACUAGGCAGUGUUUCUUCCGUUGUACACAGGGUUGCUAUGAACUGGAACGGACUCCACGGCACCUAACAACGACAAUAAAGAUGGUUAACACUAAACAACAACAAUAAAGAUGGUUAACACUACGCUUCUGUAAACUUCCCCGGCUUCAUGUUAUCUAUCCAGCUUUUUUGUCUUCUUUCACCCACUUUUAAUGUAUAUUAUUUGGUUUUUGUGCAUAUCUGUGAGCUACUUUUCCCCUGGAAAAUGGUGUAGUGUACGAUAAAAUAAGGGCAAACGUGAAGACUCUUCACCUUAGGAGAGCACGGAGAAUUCAGAAUGGUUUUCCACGCUUGGGAACCAGAGUUAAACAUUGUUCAAUAGUGCCCCCUUGUGGAUCAGUAUGGUUAGCAGUUGCUAGAAAACUUUGUUAAGUAUUUUGAUUUAUUUAUUUUUUGAACAGGUUAACACGCUUGGCUGCUAAGCAAAAUGUUGGAGGCUGGCGUACACCCAGCCUCAGAAGAAAGACCUGGCGAUGUACUUCAGAAAAAUCAGCCAUUGAAAACGUCGCAGGGUACAGUUCUACUCUGACACACGGGGUUGCCAUCAGUUGGAAUGACUGGACAACAACUGAAAACCAAAAAGAACACUGAAGAAAAGCAAGAGCUGUAGAGAAGUGGGAAAUAUUUUGCUGACAUGAAAGCAAGUACUUCAAACCAUAUUUUGAUGUAUUAUUAAUAAUGAUACCAGAGAUACAACCAUAAGUAAAGUUGCACAUUUUUAAAUUACAAGAUUCAGUUAUAAAACACGAUUUUGGUAUGUCCGAGAAUAUUGAAUAUGCCAUGGACUGUCAAAAGAAUGAACAAAUCUGUCUUGAAGAAGUACAACCUGAAUGCUCCUUAGAGGCAAGAAUGGCGAGACUUCGUCUCACAUACCUCGGACAUGUUAUCAGGAAGGACCAAUCCCUGGAGAAGGACACCACGUUUGGUAGAAUGUCAGUGAAAGAGAGAAAGACUCUCAACGAGAAGGACUGACGUAGUGGCUGCAACAAUGCGCUCAAGCAUAACAAUGAUUGUGAAGAUGGUGCAGGACCGAGCAGUGUUUGUUUCUGUUGUACGUAGGGUUGCUAUGAGUCAGAACUGACUUGAUGGCAGCCAACAAGAACAACACUAUCUUAGAUUUUACCAGGUACUCUUUUUCUGUACCAGAAUCCCAUCCAAGAUACCCACUACAUUUCGUUGUCAUGUCUCUUUAGGCUCCUCUUGGCUGUGACGAUUUUUCAGACUGUCCUUAUUUUUGAUGACCUUGACUGUUUUGAGGAAAGCUGAUCGGGUAUUUUGUAGAAUGUCACUCAAAUGGGAUUACUCUAAUGUUUUUCUAAUGAUUGGGGUUAUCGGUUUUGGAGAGGAAAGCCACAGAGAUGAAGUGUCAUCAUCAUCACAUGAGAUCAAGAGCACCUACUGUCAAUACGACUUAUUUAUUGUUAAUGCUAAUCUUGAUCACCUGACUGAAAGAGUGUUUAUCAGGUUUCUCCAGGUUCUCUUUGGAAGAAAGUCACUAAGCACAGCUGAUCCUUAAGGAAUGGGGAGUUAUGCUUCACCUCCUUGAAUGCAUGAGUAUCUCCAUAAAUUGGAAUUUUUCUGCAUGGGACAUUUAUUUAUUUAUUAACUAGUUUAUUUUUAAUUUACUGACAUCAGUAUAGACUUAUGGGUAUUUAUUUUAUAAUUUAGGUAAUAAUCCAGUACUAAGCAACAACAAAAAAUA